AUAAUACUCCAUAGAUUAGAGAAACUGGAAUGUUCUUUAAUCGAAAGUUCCGGCGCCAUAGGAUGGAUCUGCGGCCGAUUAGGUAGUUGUUGGGGUAACGGCCCAACAAGCCUGUAAUCGGUACGGGUUGUGGGAGCAAGAGCCCGGAGAUGGAAUCUGAGACACGAUUCCAGGCCCUACGGGGCGCAGCAGGCGCGAAAACUUUACAAUGCAGGAAACUGUGAUAAGGGAACCCCGAGUGCCCGUAUACGCGGGCUGUCCCGGUGUCUAAAACGCAUCUGAAGAAAGGGCCGGGCAAGACCGGUGCCAGCCGCCGCGGUAAUACCGGCGGCUCGAGUGGUGACCACUUUUAUUGGGCUUAAAGCGUUCGUAGCUGGACUCUUAAGUCUCUUGGGAAAUCCCGCGGCUUAACCGUGGGGCGUUUAAGAGAUACUGAGAGUCUAGGAACCGGGAGAGGUAAGAGGUACUUCGGGGGUAGAAGUGAAAUUCUGUAAUCCUCGAGGGACCACCGAUGGCGAAGGCAUCUUACCAGAACGGCUUCGACAGUGAGGAACGAAAGCUGGGGGAGCGAACGGGAUUAGAUACCCCGGGUAGUCCCAGCCGUAAACGAUGCGCGUUAGGUGU
This 624-nucleotide ribosomal RNA is filed under the name uncultured archaeon. Its description in RNAcentral is "bacterial SSU rRNA". It matches the Rfam family "Archaeal small subunit ribosomal RNA", at positions 146 to 774 of the family's 1478-position model. The record is from RNAcentral.